CUAAGAGAUUGGAGCUGCGCGUUCACAAGACCACGCUGUUUUUUCUUUUCCUCUUUGAAUUAAUACACUAUUGUCCGGUUGGAAUAUUAUCGCUAUUUUACGAGAAAAAUACCAUAAAAAAUUAUUUUAAACAGCGUUUGACAUGCUUCUAAGUAAGGUAAUGGAACAUUUUGAAUUUUUUUGCCUCGAAAUGCCUACCCUUUGGAUAGAGACCUGAACGCACAAACAAAAUGGAGGUAUUUGGAGAUAACUAUGGAUUAUUUGGAACAAAAAACACAUUUCUUGUGGAAGUAGCAGUCCUGGGAGUGCAUUCUGACGAAGAUCAGCAAAGGAUAGGUAAGAAAGUUGGACCGGCAAAGGUGAAGUACUGUGAAGAAGUAUGCCUUGGAGGAAAAGUGUUGUGAAUCACGUUCACUGGUCAUUCUCAACAUAAACACCGGGGAAGGAGGCAGUGGCCAAGUGGAAUUCAGUGGCCAACCACAUACAGAACGUCCACACUCAUGAGAAUAGUUUUUCCCCAACUGUCAGCACCAGCCUCUCAUUGGUGAACAGACCAGGCUGUGGCUCAAGCCAAAUACAGCCGCAUGCCAGAAGCUGAACGUAAUACUACUGGAACCAAGACUUCUGAAGGACAUCGAGAAGAUGAGUCCACACUUCCAG
RNAcentral lists this long non-coding RNA (660 nucleotides) under Salmo salar (Atlantic salmon). RNAcentral's name for it is "lncRNA (ENSSSAG00000107040.1)". Lineage: Eukaryota; Metazoa; Chordata; Actinopteri; Salmoniformes; Salmonidae. The record is from RNAcentral.